UACUGGUGACCAAGAUUCCAGCCUUGAGAAGAGAGCAACACUGAGGUUGAGAGUCCACGUAAUGGACAGGUUGAAGGGCUGUCCUUGGAGCAGGUGCCUGGAUUAAAAUCUCAGCUCAGCCUCCAAAUACCCAUGUGGCCUGGAAAAUCUACCCAGCUUCCCUAGGUCUUUCCUGUGUCUCCAUAGCACCAUUCGGCACUCUGAUAAGUUGGAGAUGAUGACAGGCACAUAGAUUGCGAAUGGAAUAGCAGUUUACAGGGAUCUCUAGAAGACAUAAUGCAGACGGGAUCAGAAGAUGGAAAAGCCAACAAAAGCUGAAUCAUUGACUACAUAGACACAAGGACAAGAAGGCUGCUGGGGAAGAAAACUGUCUCAGCACAGUGGGACCCUGCUGGAGUGGGGUGGGGUUCACUGAGUCUAGCGGUAGGGCCCUGAACUGCUCCCUAUGUAUAGUGGAGGGGGCAGGAGAGACCUCUGGGCCAGAGAAGUGGACUGUCACUGCAGAGAGGGCUUAGCUUUAGAAAAACAAAAAACAAAAAACAGUGAUUCCUAGCCGCCCCCCUUCUCAACUUUCUCAGUGACAGGGCAGCCCUGGCCUACUUUCUGCCAGAGUACCCUUCCACCUACUCAUCCCUGCCCUCCAUCCUGAAGGGAAGCCCUUCUAGGGAUGAACUUCACCCUUCAUUCUUUUUGUUCUGUGUAAGAUUCCGUUUUAUGAAAAUACCACAUUUGGGGGCACCUGGGUGGCUCAGUCGGUUGAACACCCAACUCUUGA
This is a non-coding RNA of Leptonychotes weddellii (Weddell seal), 775 nucleotides long. Lineage: Eukaryota; Metazoa; Chordata; Mammalia; Carnivora; Phocidae. The record is from RefSeq and is a predicted model, not a curated record.